This 443-nucleotide ribosomal RNA is filed under the name uncultured bacterium. RNAcentral's name for it is "partial 16S ribosomal RNA". It matches the Rfam family "Bacterial small subunit ribosomal RNA", at positions 338 to 795 of the family's 1533-position model. The record is from RNAcentral.
CCUACGGGGGGCAGCAGUGGGGAAUAUUGGACAAUGGGGGGAACCCUGAUCCAGCGACGCCGCGUGAGUGAAGAAGUAUUUCGGUAUGUAAAGCUCUAUCAGCAGGGAAGAAAGAAAUGACGGUACCUGACUAAGAAGCCCCGGCUAACUACGUGCCAGCAGCCGCGGUAAUACGUAGGGGGCAAGCGUUAUCCGGAUUUACUGGGUGUACAGGGAGCGUAGACGGCGAUGCAAGUCUGAAGUGAAAGGCGGGGGCCCAACCCCCGGACUGCUUUGGAAACUGUAGGGCUGGAGUGCAGGAGAGGUAAGGGGAAUUUCUAGUGUAGCGGUGAAAUGCGGAGAUAUUAGGAGGAACACCAGUGGCGAAGGCGGCUUACUGGACUGUAACUGACGUUGAGGCUCGAAAGCGUGGGGAGCAAACAGGAUUAGAUACCCGUGUAGUC